Molecule: non-coding RNA, 291 nt
Organism: Schizosaccharomyces pombe (fission yeast)
Lineage: Eukaryota; Fungi; Ascomycota; Schizosaccharomycetes; Schizosaccharomycetales; Schizosaccharomycetaceae
Source: the annotation of a GenBank genome assembly
AAUGGGUAGGUAAACCAUUUAAUUUACUAUUGCUAAUGCUGAAGUUUAAAUGGACGGAACUAUUUUUCUGUUUCGUACUUCAUGUUAUGAAAAUUAUUUAGUUUCAUCUUGCUAAGAUUUAUUGAUGCUGACUUUACAAUAAAUAUAGACGGAUACACACGCAACAACGUUGAAAACCAAACCUAGGUAAAUAUGUUCUUGUGGUUGCAUAUAUACAAAAAAGUUGAGUUUUGGCUAGAGACUCGGUUGAAAACUAACAGCUGCGUAAUAAUAACAAUACAUCUAUUAUGU